Molecule: transfer RNA, 72 nt
Filed under: Ovis aries (sheep)
Lineage: Eukaryota; Metazoa; Chordata; Mammalia; Artiodactyla; Bovidae
Rfam family: tRNA
About the family: Transfer RNA (tRNA) molecules are approximately 80 nucleotides in length. Their secondary structure includes four short double-helical elements and three loops (D, anti-codon, and T loops). Further hydrogen bonds mediate the characteristic L-shaped molecular structure. tRNAs have two regions of fundamental functional importance: the anti-codon, which is responsible for specific mRNA codon recognition, and the 3' end, to which the tRNAs corresponding amino acid is attached (by aminoacyl-tRNA synthetases). tRNAs cope with the degeneracy of the genetic code in two manners: having more than one tRNA (with a specific anti-codon) for a particular amino acid; and 'wobble' base-pairing, i.e. permitting non-standard base-pairing at the 3rd anti-codon position.
Source: Rfam by way of RNAcentral
CCCCUGGUGGCUCAGACGGUAAAGCGUCUGCCUGCAAUGCAGGAGACCCGGGUUCGAUUCCUGGGUCGGGAA